GAUGAACGCUGACAGAAUGCUUAACACAUGCAAGUCAACUUGAAUUUGGGUUUUUAACUUAGAUUUGGGUGGCGGACGGGUGAGUAACGCGUAAAGAACUUGCCUCACAGCUAGGGACAACAUUUAGAAAUGAAUGCUAAUACCUGAUAUUAUGAUUUUAAGGCAUCUUAGAAUUAUGAAAGCUAUAAGCACUGUGAGAGAGCCUUGCGUCCCAUUAGUUAGUUGGAGAGGUAACAGCUCACCAAGGCGAUGAUGGGUAGCCGGCCUGAGAGGGUGAACGGCCACAAGGGGACUGAGACACGGCCCUUACUCCUACGGGAGGCAGCAGUGGGGAAUAUUGGACAAUGGACCGAGAGUCUGAUCCAGCAAUUCUGUGUGCACGAUGAAGUUUUUCGGAAUGUAAAGUGCUUUCAGUUGGGAAGAGAAAAAUGACGGUACCAACAGAAGAAGUGACGGCUAAAUACGUGCCAGCAGCCGCGGUAAUACGUAUGUCACGAGCGUUAUCCGGAUUUAUUGGGCGUAAAGCGCGUCUAGGUGGUUAUGUAAGUCUGAUGUGAAAAUGCAGGGCUCAACUCUGUAUUGCGUUGGAAACUGUAUAACUAGAGUACUGGAGAGGUAAGCGGAACUACAAGUGUAGAGGUGAAAUUCGUAGAUAUUUGUAGGAAUGCCGAUGGGGAAGCCAGCUUACUGGACAGAUACUGACGCUAAAGCGCGAAAGCGUGGGUAGCAAACAGG
Molecule: ribosomal RNA, 735 nt
Filed under: uncultured Fusobacterium sp.
Lineage: Bacteria; Fusobacteriati; Fusobacteriota; Fusobacteriia; Fusobacteriales; Fusobacteriaceae
Description: bacterial SSU rRNA
Rfam family: Bacterial small subunit ribosomal RNA
Source: RNAcentral